Molecule: long non-coding RNA, 637 nt
Filed under: Chlamydomonas reinhardtii
Lineage: Eukaryota; Viridiplantae; Chlorophyta; Chlorophyceae; Chlamydomonadales; Chlamydomonadaceae
Description: long non-coding RNA (CREI_LNC000320)
Source: RNAcentral
ACACACACACACACACACACACACACACACACACACACACACACACACACACACACACAACCUGGCCGUGCAGGCUGGUAGACAUGCCCCACUCCAACCCUUUCUCCCCUCCUCGCUGUCAAUCCGCCCUGACAAGCCCCACAGGCUACCCAUGCCUUGUACAGACACGUGAACGUGCCACGCAGGCUGAUAGACAUGCCCCACUCCAACCCUUUCUCCCCUCCUCGCUGCUAAUUCGCCCUCACAGGCCCCCACAGGCUACCCAUGCCCUGUACAGACACACGAACGUGCCGCGCAGACUGGUAGACAUGCCCCCCUCCAUCCCGCCUCCCCCCCUCGCUGUCAAUCCGCCCUGACAAGCCCCCACAGGCUACCCAUGCCUUGUACAGACACACGAACGUGCCGCGCAGACUGGUAGACAUGCCCCCCUCCAUCCCCCCUCCCCCCCUCGCUGUCAAUCCGCCCUGACAAGCCCCCACAGGCUACCCAUGCCUUGUACAGAUACACGAACGUACCGCGCAGGCUGAUAGACAUGCCCCCCUCCAACCCUUUCUCCCCUCCUCACUGCUAAUUCGCCCUCACAGGCCCCCACAGGCUACCCAUGCCUUGUACAGACACACGAAAGAACCGUGUAGAC